Molecule: long non-coding RNA, 219 nt
Filed under: Physcomitrium patens
Lineage: Eukaryota; Viridiplantae; Streptophyta; Bryopsida; Funariales; Funariaceae
Description: long non-coding RNA (PPAT_LNC004544)
Source: RNAcentral
AAAAAUCCUUCAAAAUUUUUAUUUUCGUUUUCCAUAAAAAUAAAGAUAAAAUCAACCGAAAUCCAAUACCUUCUACCUCAAGCUUUCACGUCGGGUUCACCACUUUUUGUCGUAUUACGUGCUUUCCUGCUCGAGAAUGCGCCGGGCGUCUGGCUGUAGAAGGUAGUAUGGAGAUUUGUCGAUAGUCAAGCAGUCUAUCAGUUUUGACUGCUGGAAUAU